This 426-nucleotide ribosomal RNA is filed under the name uncultured Actinomycetes bacterium. RNAcentral describes it as "bacterial SSU rRNA". It matches the Rfam family "Bacterial small subunit ribosomal RNA", at positions 233 to 671 of the family's 1533-position model. The record is from RNAcentral. Lineage: Bacteria; Bacillati; Actinomycetota; Actinomycetes.
GCGGCCUAUCAGCUUGUUGGUGAGGUAACGGCUCACCAAGGCUACGACGGGUAACCGGCCUGAGAGGGCGACCGGUCACACUGGGACUGAGACACGGCCCAGACUCCUACGGGAGGCAGCAGUGGGGAAUAUUGCGCAAUGGGCGAAAGCCUGACGCAGCGACGCCGCGUGAGGGAUGAAGGUCUUCGGAUUGUAAACCUCUUUCAGCAGGGACGAAGCGAAAGUGACGGUACCUGCAGAAGAAGCACCGGCUAACUACGUGCCAGCAGCCGCGGUAAUACGUAGGGUGCAAGCGUUGUCCGGAUUUAUUGGGCGUAAAGAGCUCGUAGGCGGUUUGACACGUCGGAUGUGAAAACUCAGGGCUCAACCCUGAGCCUGCAUUCGAUACGGUCUAACUAGAAUGUGGUAGGGGAGACUGGAAUUCCU